CAAACCAAAGCUGGCGACCGGUGCACGGGUGAGUAACACGUAUCCAACCUGCCUCAUACUCGGGGAUAGCCUUUCGAAAGAAAGAUUAAUAUCCGAUAGCAUAUAUUUCCCGCAUGGGUUUUAUAUUAAAGAAAUUCGGUAUGAGAUGGGGAUGCGUUCCAUUAGUUUGUUGGGGGGGUAACGGCCCACCAAGACUACGAUGGAUAGGGGUUCUGAGAGGAAGGUCCCCCACAUUGGAACUGAGACACGGUCCAA
Molecule: ribosomal RNA, 255 nt
Filed under: uncultured bacterium
Lineage: Bacteria
Description: partial 16S ribosomal RNA
Rfam family: Bacterial small subunit ribosomal RNA
Source: RNAcentral